CCUACGGGUGGCAGCAGUGAGGAAUAUUGGUCAAUGGGCGCGAGCCUGAACCAGCCAAGUAGCGUGAAGGCUGACUGCCCUACGGGUUGUAAGCUUCUUUUAUCAAGGAAUAAAGUUAUACACGUGUGCCUUUUUGUAUGUACGUUAUGAAUACGGAUAGGCUAACUCCGUGCCAGCAGCCGCGGUAAUACGGAGGAUCCGAGCGUUAUCCGGAUUUAUUGGGUUUAAAGGGAGCGUAGAUGGGUUGUUAAGUCAGUUGUGAAAGUUUGCGGCUCAACCGUAAAAUUGCAAUUGAUACUGGCAGCCUAGAGUACAGUGGAGGUAGGCGGAAUUCGUGGUGUAGCGGUGAAAUGCUUAGAUAUCACGAAGAACUCCGAUUGCGAAGGCAGCCUACUAAACUGCCACUGACAUUGAUGCUCGAAAGCGUGGGGAUCAAACAGGAUUAGAUACCCUAGUAGUC
Molecule: ribosomal RNA, 460 nt
Filed under: uncultured bacterium
Lineage: Bacteria
Description: partial 16S ribosomal RNA
Rfam family: Bacterial small subunit ribosomal RNA
Source: RNAcentral